This 117-nucleotide ribosomal RNA is filed under the name Veillonella sp. The record is from RNAcentral. Lineage: Bacteria; Bacillati; Bacillota; Negativicutes; Veillonellales; Veillonellaceae.
UCCGGUGAUUAUAGCGAAGAGGUCACACCUGUUCCCAUCUCGAACACAGUAGUUAAGCUCAUAAACGCCGAAAGUACUUGGCUGGAGACGGCCUGGGAGGAUAGGAAGCCGCUGCUU